CAUAAGUUGCCUGGCUGUGUGUGACUGUCACUGCGCGACCGGGGAUGAAUGGGGGACGUCACUGGCAGCGUCUGUAUGAUAUCAAGAAGAGUUAUGUGGAUUGUAGGCGUCACAAUUUGCUGGGACAGAAUAGAUGGAUGUGAUAUAGAUAUAAAACAUGAUCCAAAUUUUCUUGUUGCAAAACGUGUGUUACUGAGCCGGUCUCACGGAGUAUAUGCGCGUGCGUUCCCAGCUGAUGACAUGAAAGCAAAUCCAUACUUGGUCCGAAACCAAAUCCAAAACCCGCAAGGAUGGUUUUGGCAAAACCAGUCCAGAUCCAAAACACGAAGUAGAUCCGGAUCCAAAACCACAACACAAAACCCAAAAAAUGGCCCGGUGCACACCCUAAUUUAAAGCCCUGACCUGGGAGAUGGCUGAGUGGAAGAACCAAUCAAAAUCUCCAAUUAAGAAAGCUUGCAGCCACCACUUUAAAGUGGCA
Molecule: long non-coding RNA, 478 nt
Organism: Pseudophryne corroboree (corroboree frog)
Lineage: Eukaryota; Metazoa; Chordata; Amphibia; Anura; Myobatrachidae
Exons: 3
Source: RefSeq, a predicted model, not a curated record